ACAAGCAGCGGAGCGUGUGGUUAAUUCGAUGUUACACGAAGAACCUUACCAGGGUUUGACAUGCAAGUGGUAGGAAGCCGAAAGGUGACCGACCCUUCGGGGAGCUUGCACAGGUGCUGCAUGGCUGUCGUCAGCUCGUGUCGUGAGAUGUUCGGUUAAGUCCGCUAACGAGCGCAACCCUCGCUGUGUGUUAUAUGUGUCACACGGGACUGCCGGUCUUAAGCCGGAGGAAGGUGGGGAUGAUGUCAAGUCAGCAUGGCCUUUAUAUCCUGGGCUACACACACGCUACAAUGGCCAACACAAUAGGUUGCUAAGCCGCGAGGUGGCGCCAAUCCAUAAAGUUGGUCUCAGUUCAGAUUGUAGGCUGCAACCCGCCUGCAUGAAGAUGGAGUUGCUAGUAACCGCAGGUCAGCAAUACUGCGGUGAAUACGUUCCCGGGUCUU
Molecule: ribosomal RNA, 443 nt
Filed under: uncultured Leptolinea sp.
Lineage: Bacteria; Bacillati; Chloroflexota; Anaerolineae; Anaerolineales; Anaerolineaceae
Description: bacterial SSU rRNA
Rfam family: Bacterial small subunit ribosomal RNA
Source: RNAcentral